This 2145-nucleotide long non-coding RNA is filed under the name Volvox carteri. Its description in RNAcentral is "long non-coding RNA (VCAR_LNC000688)". The record is from RNAcentral. Lineage: Eukaryota; Viridiplantae; Chlorophyta; Chlorophyceae; Chlamydomonadales; Volvocaceae.
ACGUUUACCUGCGCCGUGACCCCGAACAAGCAUUCAUUUGUAUGCCGCCCAGCUCGUGGGGACACAUUUCCCCCUUCCCUUGCACACGCCACCUUCUCCCCGCCACCAAAGCCCCCUUGCAUCAUUCUCUUUUUUCCAAUUUCCUUACUCCAUGGGCGCUCAUCCCCAUCGCCUGGCAUCCCUUCCCUGCACCGCGCCUACCGCUACUCGUUGCUCUUCUCAACCCACAUAUCCCCUUUUCGCAGGCCCCAACGGACGCAUCGCCUUCCUUAAACCCCUCCAAAACCAUUACCACCGUAAACACCACCCAAGUCGACGGCCCUUCGGUGUCCUACAUGCUAUCCACCACCGUUGCACCCACCGCCAUGCCGUCCACAACAGCAACAUCACUCAUCAGCAGCACCAAUAUGUCCGCCGCAGCACCUGGCGCCGCCGCCGUAGCAGCAGCUACAGCCACAGCCGCCGCAGCAGCAACCGGCACUAGCAGCACCGGCGGGCUGGCGAUGCAGCCGCGCCAUCUCCAUUCGCACCGCCAGAAGCCCGAAGUCCUUGCGCCAGUGGGCGGCUGGCCGCAAUUACACGCAGCGGUGGAAAACGGCGCGGAUGCGGUGUACUUUGGGCUGGAGGACUUCAACGCACGUGCGCGGUAGGAGAUGUCACCUUCGGGGGAGAACCAGCGGGAACGAUAGGGGGUCGAGAGGAGGGAAAAGGGCAAGAAGAAGAUGAAAAAGGGCCUCGAAGACAUGGCGCAGACGAGGAAAGCACCCUGAUGUGGAUCACUGAUGUGUAAGGUUUACACCUUCACGGGCUGGAACCCCAAUUCACCCCCCUGCGGUGGUGAAACGUUGUCUAAGCAGGUCCUUGAAUGCUGUAGCUGGGGCUGGAAGAAAGUCCAGGGGUAGAGACCAACGGGAUGCGGCAUCAAACCACCGGGCCGACCGGAACUAUGGAAAAUUUCUGUCAACUUAGGGUUGUUGUAUGAUUAUUAAAAUAGUUAUUAAAACCACACGCUACGCGUUUUUCGGCUUGCCCAAAUAGGAAUUGUCUUAGUCUGUAAUGGGUGCGCUUGAGGGUGCUGCAGCAUUGGAGUUUUGAUGAAUUGUAUUAGUACGGUGAGUCGAAUGAGGUGCGAUUACCUGUGGAAAGCUUACAAGGAACAAAGCUGAUUGAUGGAUUGUGCUCUCGUCCUUUGUUCUCUCCUUCCAUACCCUCUGUUGUUUCUAUCUUUUCGAUCUUUUCCUUCCCUGAAUGCGGAAUCCCUUUCCCCCACUUCCCCCUCACUCUCCUUUGGUCCCUUUGUCCCUCCGCUCUCUCGCGUCCCUUUUCCCAAACACCUUUGCCCUCUCCCUCCCGUUCUCUUCCUACUCGCAUUCCUUCCAUCCUCUCCCUUCUAUCUUUUAUGUCAAUUACAUCCCUCGUGUCCUUGUGGACGAUUUGUACAUUAACGUUGCAGAUGUGCUUCCUAUUAUGAACGAUUAACUCCUUACACUUCUCCACCUGCAGUAUUCGAGUACAAGGUUCUAUGUUUGAUAUGACGUUUUGGCCGAUGUUCUGCGCUUGCUGCUUCACGUUGUCAUGUUUUCUGGUUUCUGGGAUGUGUGGGGGAGAUUCUGAGCUUUGUUGUCGGAAAAGGCAAACACGGCAAUACAAGCAACAUGAACGUGCUCUUCACCCUCAUGUCUUCCCUUUCCUCUCCCUCCCCUUUCUUCUCUCCCUCCUUUCCCUCCUCUCUUUCUGCACCUUGCUUACCCUGAAGGCGUCUCCUCUCCUCUUCCUAUACUCUCUCCUCCUCUUCCUAUACUCUCUCCUCCUCUUCCUAUACUCUCUCCUCCUCUUCCUAUACUCUCUCCUCCUCUUCCUAUAUUCUCUCCUCCUCUUCCUCGCCUUACCGUGAAUACUUUGCUCAUUAAUUUUGCGGACGCACAGCCCGGUUUUAAUGCGCAACUCCUCUUCCUGCAGUUCUCGAACAAAACGUGCAUUAUUGCUAGUUCUUUUUUAUUAUUUCUUCUUUUACUUGACGCUUGCCUUUGCCAUUUUUUCGGGUGUCACAUCCCGUAUGCCUGCGUCAUGAGAACUUUUGUAGCCGCCAUAUGCUCGGCCACUCCUUUACACUGCACAUCUUUCGGACUUCUGCGCUCUUCAUUU